Molecule: ribosomal RNA, 496 nt
Filed under: uncultured bacterium
Lineage: Bacteria
Description: partial 16S ribosomal RNA
Rfam family: Bacterial small subunit ribosomal RNA
Source: RNAcentral
GAUGAACGCUGGCGGCGUGCCUAAUACAUGCAAGUCGAGCGAACAGACGAGGAGCUUGCUCCUCUGACGUUAGCGGCGGACGGGUGAGUAACACGUGGAUAACCUACCUAUAAGACUGGGAUAACUUCGGGAAACCGGAGCUAAUACCGGAUAAUAUAUUGAACCGCAUGGUUCAAUAGUGAAAGACGGUUUUGCUGUCACUUAUAGAUGGAUCCGCGCCGCAUUAGCUAGUUGGUAAGGUAACGGCUUACCAAGGCAACGAUGCGUAGCCGACCAGAGAGGGUGAUCGGCCACACUGGACCUGAGACACGGUCCAGACUCCUACGGGAGGCAGCAGUAGGGAAUCUUCCGCAAUGGGCGAAAGCCUGACGGAGCAACGCCGCGUGAGUGAUGAAGGUCUUCGGAUUGUAAAACUCUGUUAUUAGGGAAGAACAAAUGUGUAAGUAACUAUGCACGUCUUGACGGUACCUAAGCAGAAAGCCACGGCUAACUACGG